RNAcentral lists this ribosomal RNA (253 nucleotides) under uncultured bacterium. Its description in RNAcentral is "partial 16S ribosomal RNA". It matches the Rfam family "Bacterial small subunit ribosomal RNA", at positions 524 to 776 of the family's 1533-position model. The record is from RNAcentral.
UACGUAGGGUGCAAGCGUUGUCCGGAAUUAUUGGGCGUAAAGAGCUCGUAGGCGGUCUGUCGCGUCUGCUGUGAAAACUCGGGGCUUAACCCCGGGCCUGCAGUGGGUACGGGCAGACUAGAGUGCGGUAGGGGAGACUGGAAUUCCUGGUGUAGCGGUGAAAUGCGCAGAUAUCAGGAGGAACACCGGUGGCGAAGGCGGGUCUCUGGACAGUUCCUGACGCUGAGGCACGAAGGCCAGGGGAGCGAACGGG